GGGAAUGCCACUUUAAAACGAUCGGGCCGAGGUCAACAUCCGAAAGAUUCCAUCGAAGUUGACAUACAUGAUUCAAUGAGGAAAUAUGAAUCAGACGUAAAAAUAUACUACAGUCCACUGGGCAACCGGCGCUAUAUAUUACUGCCGUUUAAGGUUAUUCGUCAUCCAAUUUGUGACGGAUUUAAAUACAAACUUGUUCAACAAGAAAUUCUGAACGUGCAAAACUGUUCGAAUCUACCUCUACCAAGCAAUCAAAUUCCGUAUUGUGACCUACUUGGAGUGGGCCACUAUUAUGUGAAGGAUUAUAUGAUUGAUAAAUCGGUGUUUCCAGCCAUCAUACGACCGGGAAGAUAUCGAUUAGUUGCAUCCUCAUAUCGAAAAAAAGCGGUGAGCUAGUGCAGGCUAUCGAGUUCAUAGCAACCUU
Molecule: long non-coding RNA, 424 nt
Organism: Bradysia coprophila
Lineage: Eukaryota; Metazoa; Arthropoda; Insecta; Diptera; Sciaridae
Source: RefSeq, a predicted model, not a curated record